RNAcentral lists this ribosomal RNA (305 nucleotides) under uncultured bacterium. RNAcentral's name for it is "bacterial SSU rRNA". It matches the Rfam family "Bacterial small subunit ribosomal RNA", at positions 333 to 636 of the family's 1533-position model. The record is from RNAcentral.
UUUUACCUACGGGGGGCAGCAGUGAGGAAUAUUGGUCAAUGGGAGAGAUCCUGAACCAGCCAAGCCGCGUGAGGGAUGAAGGUACAGAGUAUCGUAAACCUCUUUUGUCAGGGAACAAAGGCGGGGACGUGUCCCCGGAUGAGUGUACCUGAAGAAAAAGCAUCGGCUAACUCCGUGCCAGCAGCCGCGGUAAUACGGAGGAUGCGAGCGUUAUCCGGAUUUAUUGGGUUUAAAGGGUGCGCAGGCGGUCUGUUAAGUCAGCGGUCAAAGCCCGGGGCUCAACCCCGGCCCGCCGUUGAAACUGG